UGAGGGAAUAUUGGGUCAAUGGGGCGCAAGCCUGAACCAGCCAAGUAGCGUGAGGGAAGACUGCCCUACGGGUUGUAAACCUCUUUUGUUUGGGAAUAAAGUGCGGGACGUGUCCCGCAUUGCAUGUACCAUUUGAAUAAGGACCGGCUAAUUCCGUGCCAGCAGCCGCGGUAAUACGGAAGGUCCGGGCGUUAUCCGGAUUUAUUGGGUUUAAAGGGAGCGCAGGCCGUGGGUUAAGCGUGUCGUGAAAUUCCGUCGCUCAACGGCGGACGUGCGGCGCGAACUGGUCCACUUGAGUACGCGGGACGUUGGCGGAAUUCGUGGU
This 325-nucleotide ribosomal RNA is filed under the name uncultured Prevotella sp. RNAcentral describes it as "bacterial SSU rRNA". It matches the Rfam family "Bacterial small subunit ribosomal RNA", at positions 354 to 674 of the family's 1533-position model. Lineage: Bacteria; Pseudomonadati; Bacteroidota; Bacteroidia; Bacteroidales; Prevotellaceae. The record is from RNAcentral.